GCAGCGGUAGUUCAGCUGGUUAGAAUGCCGCCCUGUCACGGCGGAGGUCGCGGGUUCGAGCCCCGUCCGCUGCGCCAU
Molecule: transfer RNA, 78 nt
Filed under: Campylobacter jejuni
Lineage: Bacteria; Pseudomonadati; Campylobacterota; Epsilonproteobacteria; Campylobacterales; Campylobacteraceae
Description: tRNA-Asp
Rfam family: tRNA
About the family: Transfer RNA (tRNA) molecules are approximately 80 nucleotides in length. Their secondary structure includes four short double-helical elements and three loops (D, anti-codon, and T loops).
Source: RNAcentral